This 109-nucleotide ribosomal RNA is filed under the name Gymnodinium catenatum. RNAcentral describes it as "partial Bacterial large subunit ribosomal RNA". Lineage: Eukaryota; Dinophyceae; Gymnodiniales; Gymnodiniaceae. The record is from RNAcentral.
GGAAAGAUGUGUUCAACUGUUCAACAAGCUUGACCAAGAUGGCGGUGGCACCAUCGACGCCGCUGAGUUUGUUAUGGCGCUGUUCCCUUCGGCCUACUACACCAUGUAC